UACAGAGGUCCCAAGCGUUGUUCGGAUUCACUGGGCGUAAAGGGUGCGUAGGCGGUCGGGUAAGUCUGAUGUGAAAUCUCACAGCUUAACUGUGAAACUGCAUUGGAUACUAUUCGGCUUGAGAGUUGGAGGGGGGACUGGAAUUCUUGGUGUAGCAGUGAAAUGCGUAGAUAUCAAGAGGAACACCAGUGGCGAAGGUGAGUCCCUGGACAACUUCUGACGCUGAGGCACGAAAGCUAGGGGAGCAAACAGG
Molecule: ribosomal RNA, 253 nt
Filed under: uncultured bacterium
Lineage: Bacteria
Description: partial 16S ribosomal RNA
Rfam family: Bacterial small subunit ribosomal RNA
Source: RNAcentral